Molecule: ribosomal RNA, 508 nt
Filed under: uncultured bacterium
Lineage: Bacteria
Description: partial 16S ribosomal RNA
Rfam family: Bacterial small subunit ribosomal RNA
Source: RNAcentral
AUUGAACGCUGGCGGCAUGCCUUACACAUGCAAGUCGAACGGCAGCGGGGGAGAAGCUUGCUUUUCCUGCAGGCGAGUGGCGAACGGGUGAGUAAUGUAUCGGAACGUGCCCAGUCGUGGGGGAUAACGUAGUGAAAAUUACGCUAAUACCGCAUACGAUCUAUGGAUGAAAGCGGGGGAUCGCAAGACCUCGCGCGAUUGGAGCGGCCGAUAUCAGAUUAGGUAGUUGGUGGGGUAAAGGCCCACCAAGCCAACGAUCUGUAGCUGGUCUGAGAGGACGACCAGCCACACUGGAAAGGAGACACGGUCCAGACUCCUACGGUAGGCAGCAGUGGGGAAUUUUGGACAAUGGGCGAAAGCCUGAUCCAGCCAUUCCGCGUGCAGGAUGAAGGCCCUCGGGUUGUAAACUGCUUUUGUACAGAACGAAAAGGUUUCUACUAAUACUAGGAGCUCAUGACGGUACUGUAAGAAUAAGCACCGGCUAACUACGUGCCAGCCGCCGCGGUAA